Molecule: ribosomal RNA, 253 nt
Filed under: uncultured bacterium
Lineage: Bacteria
Description: partial 16S ribosomal RNA
Rfam family: Bacterial small subunit ribosomal RNA
Source: RNAcentral
UACGUAGGUGGCAAGCGAUACUCGGAAUCACUAGGCGUAAAGCGCAGGUAGGAGGUUUGGAAAGUCUCUUGUGAAAGCUCCCGGCUCAACUGGGAGAGGCCAAGGGAAACUACCAGGCUAGAGUGCGGUAGAGGUAGCUGGAAUUCCCGGUGUAGCGGUGAAAUGCGUAGAUAUCGGGAGGAAUACCUAUGGCGAAAGCAGGCUACUGGACCGUCACUGACUCUGAUCUGCGAAAGCUAGGGGAGCAAACAGG